GUAAGGUGGAGCUAAUCUCAUAAAGAUAGUCUCAGUUCGGAUUGUGGGCUGCAACCCGCCCACAUGAAGUCGGAGUUGCUAGUAAUCCCGAAUCAGCAUGUCGGGGUGAAUGCGUUCCCGGGUCUUGUACACACCGCCCGUCAAGCCAUGGGAGUUGGGAGUACCCAAAGUCAGUGUCCUAACCGCAAGGAGGGAGCUGCCUAAGGUAAUACCAAUGACUGGGGUUAAGUCGUAACAAGGUAAC
RNAcentral lists this ribosomal RNA (244 nucleotides) under uncultured bacterium. RNAcentral's name for it is "partial 16S ribosomal RNA". It matches the Rfam family "Bacterial small subunit ribosomal RNA", at positions 1257 to 1500 of the family's 1533-position model. The record is from RNAcentral.